RNAcentral lists this ribosomal RNA (715 nucleotides) under Acinetobacter calcoaceticus. RNAcentral's name for it is "bacterial SSU rRNA". It matches the Rfam family "Bacterial small subunit ribosomal RNA", at positions 563 to 1276 of the family's 1533-position model. The record is from RNAcentral. Lineage: Bacteria; Pseudomonadati; Pseudomonadota; Gammaproteobacteria; Moraxellales; Moraxellaceae.
AAGCGCGCGUCAGGCGGCUACUUAAGUCAAAUGUGAAAUCCCCGAGCUUAACUUGGGAAUUGCAUUCGAUACUGGUUAGCUAGAGUGUGGGAGAGGAUGGUAGAAUUCCAGGUGUAGCGGUGAAAUGCGUAGAGAUCUGGAGGAAUACCGAUGGCGAAGGCAGCCAUCUGGCCUAACACUGACGCUGAGGUGCGAAAGCAUGGGGAGCAAACAGGAUUAGAUACCCUGGUAGUCCAUGCCGUAAACGAUGUCUACUAGCCGUUGGGGCCUUUGAGGCUUUAGUGGCGCAGCUAACGCGAUAAGUAGACCGCCUGGGGAGUACGGUCGCAAGACUAAAACUCAAAUGAAUUGACGGGGGCCCGCACAAGCGGUGGAGCAUGUGGUUUAAUUCGAUGCAACGCGAAGAACCUUACCUGGCCUUGACAUAGUAAGAACUUUCCAGAGAUGGAUUGGUGCCUUCGGGAACUUACAUACAGGUGCUGCAUGGCUGUCGUCAGCUCGUGUCGUGAGAUGUUGGGUUAAGUCCCGCAACGAGCGCAACCCUUUUCCUUAUUUGCCAGCGAGUAAUGUCGGGAACUUUAAGGAUACUGCCAGUGACAAACUGGAGGAAGGCGGGGACGACGUCAAGUCAUCAUGGCCCUUACGGCCAGGGCUACACACGUGCUACAAUGGUCGGUACAAAGGGUUGCUACCUAGCGAUAGGAUGCUAAUCUCA